This 492-nucleotide ribosomal RNA is filed under the name uncultured bacterium. RNAcentral describes it as "partial 16S ribosomal RNA". It matches the Rfam family "Bacterial small subunit ribosomal RNA", at positions 29 to 507 of the family's 1533-position model. The record is from RNAcentral.
AGUGAACGCUGGCGGUAGGCCUAACACAUGCCAGUCGAACGGCAGCACAGUAAGAGCUUGCUCUUACGGGUGGCGAGUGGCGGACGGGUGAGGAAUACAUCGGAAUCUACUUUUUCGUGGGGGAUAACGUAGGGAAACUUACGCUAAUUCCGCAUACGACCUACGGGUGAAAGCAGGGGAUCUUCGGACCUUGCGCGAUUGAAUGAGCCGAUGUCGGAUUAGCUAGUUGGCGGGGUAAAGGCCCACCAAGGCGACGAUCCGUAGCUGGUCUGAGAGGAUGAUCAGCCACACUGGAACUGAGACACGGUCCAGACUCCUACGGGAGGCAGCAGUGGGGAAUAUUGGACAAUGGGCGAAAGCCUGAUCCAGCCAUACCGCGUGGGUGAAGAAGGCCUUCGGGUUGUAAAGCCCUUUUGUUGGGAAAGAAAAGCAGCAGGUUAAUACCCCGCUGUUCUGACGGUACCCAAAGAAUAAGCACCGGCUAACUUCGUG